This 491-nucleotide ribosomal RNA is filed under the name uncultured bacterium. Its description in RNAcentral is "partial 16S ribosomal RNA". It matches the Rfam family "Bacterial small subunit ribosomal RNA", at positions 29 to 507 of the family's 1533-position model. The record is from RNAcentral.
AGUGAACGCUGGCGGUAGGCCUAACACAUGCAAGUCGAACGGCAGCACAGUAAGAGCUUGCUCUUACGGGUGGCGAGUGGCGGACGGGUGAGGAAUACAUCGGAAUCUACUUUUUCGUGGGGGAUAACGUAGGGAAACUUACGCUAAUACCGCAUACGACCUACGGGUGAAAGCAGGGGAUCUUCGGACCUUGCGCGAUUGAAUGAGCCGAUGUCGGAUUAGCUAGUUGGCGGGGUAAAGGCCACCAAGGCGACGAUCCGUAGCUGGUCUGAGAGGAUGAUCAGCCACACUGGAACUGAGACACGGUCCAGACUCCUACGGGAGGCAGCAGUGGGGAAUAUUGGACAAUGGGCGCAAGCCUGAUCCAGCCAUACCGCGUGGGUGAAGAAGGCCUUCGGGUUGUAAAGCCCUUUUGUUGGGAAAGAAAAGCAGCAGGUUAAUACCCCGCUGUCCUGACGGUACCCAAAGAAUAAGCACCGGCUAACUUCGUG